Molecule: ribosomal RNA, 414 nt
Filed under: Triticum aestivum (bread wheat)
Lineage: Eukaryota; Viridiplantae; Streptophyta; Magnoliopsida; Poales; Poaceae
Description: partial small subunit ribosomal RNA
Source: RNAcentral
UAUGGCGCGGUUGGUGCUAUAUGCAGAGACCAAACCGGCCUGUUUCUUGGCGCUUCGGCCAUAGUGUACCGGCAUAUCAAUAAUCCUCAAACACUUGAAUCAUUGGCUAUUAGGGAAGCUCUAGCGCUGGCGAAUGAUUUAUAUGUUCAAAGCAUUCACAUGGCUUACGAUUGCAAGACGGUGGUGGAAGACGUAAAGAACGGGACUUCGGCUGAAUAUGAUGCGGUGAUACAUGAAAUCAUAGAACAUUCUUCUGGUUUUCAACUUUGUAAAAUAGUUCAUGAAUUUAGGAGUUCAAAUUUUGAGGCUCACAACUUAGCGAAGCAUGCCUUAUCUCUCGGGGGUGGCCGCCAUGUUUGGUUAGGUCAUCCUGGAGAUCUUUCUUUCGUCCCUGUAAACAUUGUGACGGGUUAA